Long non-coding RNA from Nomascus leucogenys (northern white-cheeked gibbon), 102 nucleotides. RefSeq lists it as uncharacterized. The record is from RefSeq and is a predicted model, not a curated record. Lineage: Eukaryota; Metazoa; Chordata; Mammalia; Primates; Hylobatidae. The transcript has 3 exons.
AUCCAGUUUUCCCAUCACCAUUUAUUGAAGAAACUGGUCUUUCCCCCAUGGUGUGUUCUUGGAACCUUUGUCAAAAAUGAAUUCACUUCUGGGGAUACAUAU